UACGUAGGCGGUUUACUAAGUCAGAUGUGAAAGCCCCCGGGCUUAACCUGGGAACUGCAUUUGAUACUGGUAGGCUAGAGUAUGGUAGAGGGGGGGUAGAAUUCAUAGUGUAGCGGUGAAAUGCGUAGAUAUUAUGAGGAAUACCAGUGGCGAAGGCGGCCCCCUGGACCAAUACUGACGCUGAGGUACGAAAGCGUGGGUAGCGAACA
This 209-nucleotide ribosomal RNA is filed under the name uncultured bacterium. Its description in RNAcentral is "partial 16S ribosomal RNA". It matches the Rfam family "Bacterial small subunit ribosomal RNA", at positions 568 to 774 of the family's 1533-position model. The record is from RNAcentral.